GACGAACGCUGGCGGCGUGCUUAACACAUGCAAGUCGAACGGAAAGGCCCUGCUUUUGUGGGGUGCUCGAGUGGCGAACGGGUGAGUAACACGUGAGUAACCUGCCCUUGACUUUGGGAUAACUUCAGGAAACUGGGGCUAAUACCGGAUAGGAGCUCCUGCUGCAUGGUGGGGGUUGGAAAGUUUCGGCGGUUGGGGAUGGACUCGCGGCUUAUCAGCUUGUUGGUGGGGUAGUGGCUUACCAAGGCUUUGACGGGUAGCCGGCCUGAGAGGGUGACCGGACAGCAUGGGACUGAAAGACGGGCCCGGCCCCCACGGGGGGGAGCAGUGGGGAAUUAUGCAACAUGGGCGGGAGGCUGGUGCCGGCAAGCCGCGGGCCGGAAGACGGGCUUUGGGGUGGAAACCGGCUUCGCCUGUGAAGGAGCGUUAGUUGCGGUAAUGGGGAAAGGAAGAACCGGUUACUUCGUG
RNAcentral lists this ribosomal RNA (468 nucleotides) under uncultured bacterium. Its description in RNAcentral is "partial 16S ribosomal RNA". It matches the Rfam family "Bacterial small subunit ribosomal RNA", at positions 28 to 507 of the family's 1533-position model. The record is from RNAcentral.